UCUCCGUAGGUGAACCUGCGGAAGGAUCAUUAUCGUGCAAAAAAAAAUUAAAAAUUUUCACAAAUGUAGAUUUUUUACGAUCUUCAUUUUUGAUCAUUUUCUCUUCUUCUACCGUGGACAAAACUUUUCAAUUUCCAAAAUGGAAAAAAAGAAUUUGUUUUCUUUUUCCCUCUGUUUUGGAAAGAAACACACACCCCUUUUACUACUUUUCACAAAAAAAAAAAAAGGAAAAUCAUUUUUCUAUUUUUUUUUUGAAAGUAAUAAAAAUUCAAAUUCAAAACCCCCCAUUCUCUUUUAAAAAACAUUUUUUUUGAUUUGGAAGAAAAUUCUAAAACCAAAGAAAACAAAACAAAAAAUCCACAACUUUCAACGGUGGAUCUCUUGGCUCGU
This 390-nucleotide unclassified non-coding RNA is filed under the name plant metagenome. RNAcentral describes it as "partial contains small subunit ribosomal RNA, internal transcribed spacer 1, and 5.8S ribosomal RNA". The record is from RNAcentral.